Molecule: ribosomal RNA, 496 nt
Filed under: uncultured bacterium
Lineage: Bacteria
Description: partial 16S ribosomal RNA
Rfam family: Bacterial small subunit ribosomal RNA
Source: RNAcentral
GAUGAACGCUGGCGGCGUGCCUAAUACAUGCAAGUCGAGCGAACGGACGAGAAGCUUGCUUCUCUGAUGUUAGCGGCGGACGGGUGAGUAACACGUGGAUAACCUACCUAUAAGACUGGGAUAACUUCGGGAAACCGGAGCUAAUACCGGAUAAUAUUUUGAACCGCAUGGUUCAAAAGUGAAAGACGGUCUUGCUGUCACUUAUAGAUGGAUCCGCGCUGCAUUAGCUAGUUGGUAAGGUAACGGCUUACCAAGGCAACGAUGCAUAGCCGACCUGAGAGGGGGAUCGGCCACACUGGAACUGAGACACGGUCCAGACCCCUACGGGAGGCAGCAGUAGGGAAUUUUCCGAAAUGGGCGAAAGCCUGACGGAGCAACGCCGCGGGAGUGAUGAAGGUUUUCGGAUCGUAAAACUUUUUUUUUAGGGAAAAAAAUAUGUUUAAGUAACUGUGCCAAUUUUGACGGUACCUAAUCAAAAAGCCACGGCUAACUACGU